RNAcentral lists this unclassified non-coding RNA (240 nucleotides) under Hevea brasiliensis (rubber tree). Lineage: Eukaryota; Viridiplantae; Streptophyta; Magnoliopsida; Malpighiales; Euphorbiaceae. The record is from RNAcentral.
GCGCAGAGGGGAGAUAUUUUUCUAGUUCAGCAGUUGUUUGAGCAUAUGUCGUCCUAGAAAGUCUGAGGUCAUUAGCUCUUUUGUUAAGAGCUUCUUUCAGAGUCCUAUUUUCCUCUUCCAGCAUGCAUAAUUGCUCAGAGAGGAAGUUAAUAUUUCUGUUUGGAGUAUCAGGAGCCGUCUCUGAAGUUAAGUCCACUGAACCAUUUGGAGACGGAUUUGACUUCCUUAUCCUCAUUUUAG